UAAAAGGGUGUUUGCCUCUUUGAUGGCACGUGUGCUGGCAACGGCGCGCGGGGUAUGGUCAUCAAGACAUACCCAACACGUCAUUUUUGUGAACAAGAGGCAGCUGGCUACCCCUACGUACCGGCGCCUCU
Molecule: small nuclear RNA, 131 nt
Organism: Plutella xylostella (diamondback moth)
Lineage: Eukaryota; Metazoa; Arthropoda; Insecta; Lepidoptera; Plutellidae
Product: U11 spliceosomal RNA
Source: RefSeq, a predicted model, not a curated record